Molecule: ribosomal RNA, 365 nt
Filed under: uncultured eukaryote
Lineage: Eukaryota
Description: partial 18S ribosomal RNA
Rfam family: Eukaryotic small subunit ribosomal RNA
Source: RNAcentral
CGAUAGCGUAUAUUAACGUUGUUGCAGUUAAAAAGCUCGUAGUUGGAUUUCUGGAGGGAGCGUCGGCCCGUAUUUACGAGUGCGUGACGUCUCUGUCCAUCCUUGCGGGAAGGCACGGCAUUGAUUUGUUGUGUCGGAUCGCAUCAUUUACUGUGAAAAAAUUAGAGUGUUCAAAGCAGGCUUUCGCUUGAAUACAUUAGCAUGGAAUAAUAAGAUAGGACUUUGGUGCUAUUUUGUUGGUUGAGCCUAAAGUAAUGAUUAAUAGGGAUAGUUGGGGGCACCUGUAUUGCGUUGUCAGAGGUGAAAUUCUUGGAUUUACGCAAGACAAACAGCUGCGAANGNGUCUGCNAAGGAUGUUUNCAUUA